This 366-nucleotide long non-coding RNA is filed under the name Ananas comosus (pineapple). RNAcentral describes it as "long non-coding RNA (ACOM_LNC026202)". The record is from RNAcentral. Lineage: Eukaryota; Viridiplantae; Streptophyta; Magnoliopsida; Poales; Bromeliaceae.
AUUAUGACUUAGACGUGUUAUGGUUCAAUUGGUUAUAUUUUAUUUGGAUUUAUGUGGUUUUGUGAAAUGAAUAAAGUAAUUAUGAUUUUCUUAUGAGAUGAAAACAGUUUUCUACCCUUCGUGGUAGCGUAUUUUAAAAGAAAAGGUUUCCGUGUGAAAAACAGUUUUAAAAAAGGGUUUCUCCUGAUUUUCAUGAUUCAUAGUACUUCAAAAUAUGUUUCCGGGUAGGAAACGUUUUAAACUAAUAGAUAUAGAUUUAUGAUAAACUGUGAUGGAAUGAAUGUGAUGUGGUGAUUGUAUGUGGAUUAUUAUACUGUGUGGUUGUAUUUUGUACUUGUGCGACGCCGUGCAAAUACAUGGUAGACU